This 8482-nucleotide long non-coding RNA is filed under the name Nicotiana benthamiana. Its description in RNAcentral is "long non-coding RNA (NBEN_LNC004774)". Lineage: Eukaryota; Viridiplantae; Streptophyta; Magnoliopsida; Solanales; Solanaceae. The record is from RNAcentral.
AGCACUCGAGUAUAAACAAUGUUACCAAACCCGAUAAUCAUGAGUCACAAGCUCUAAGAAUUUGUCUAAAUAUUUCGAUACAUCAGUAUCUAAACGAAAUAGAGGGUAAACAACAUAAGUGAUAGAGGGGGGCUUUGAGGUCUGCAGACGCUGGCAGAUAUACCUUGAAGUCUCCAGAGCAGCAUCAAGUACGCAACUAGUAGUGUGACUGGUAAGAGGUACCUGGAUCUGCACACAAAAUAUGUGCAGAAGAGUAGCAAGAGUACACCACAAUGGUACCCAGUAAGUGCCAAGACUAACCUCAGUAGAGUAGUGACGAGGUCAGGUCCGGGCCCUACUGGAUAUGAUAAUAAGACAGAAGAUAUAAAAAAUUGAAGAAAGACUAAGAAUUUAACAAAAGAAUUCACGGAGAACUAAUAACACAACAAAAUAAGACACACAACAUGGGUGCUCCCGAGCUACCGUCUCGUAGUCUCAAAAUUAAAUAUACAUGGAAAUCACCCGAGGUAUCGCCUCGUAGUCCCAAAAGUAAAUAUGUAAGGGAAUCUCCUGAGGUACCACCUCGUAGUGCCAAAAGUAACUGUGUAGGGGGAUCUCCCGAGAUACCGCCUCGUAGUCUCAAUAGUAAAUAUGCAAGGGAAUCUUUCGAGGUACCGCAAAUGAUCAUAUUUCACCUGCUGGCAAUUUAGACAUCGAGCUACAUACUCUACUAUGUCCUUCUUCAUUCUUCUCCACAAUUAAUGCUUCCUCAAGUUCUGAUACAUCUUUGCGGCACCUGGAUAAAUGGAGUACCGCAAACUAUGAGCUUCCUAGAUAAUCAACUCACAUAAUCCAUCUAUAUUGGGCAUACAUAGCCUGUCAUCCUCAAAGCACCAUCAUCUCCACCAUGAAAGUUACUACCUGUACUAGAUACUGAACAGGAACAGUGCAAUAGUCAACUUUCUAUAAAAGGGUUUUUACCUAUCUUGCUUAUAUCAUUGUAAGUGAUGUCGUACACGUAUAAAUAUCAUCAAGGAAGGUAAAACAACUUAAUUCAUGAGAGAACCAAAUAAAGGACCUGAAGCUAGCGUGGUAUGAUCAUUCAGAUCGACUCAAGAUAAUCUUGGCAGUGUGCUUUAGGUUCACAAGAACCACAUUAGGAACCUGAUAUCUUGGUGUUCCCCUGACAGAAGUAUAAGCCAACAGUACAGCUGGAAAGCAACUACAGAAAGUGAGUGCCUGCAACUGUACACGCAACAGUUCUGCAGACAGUGCAACAGUCACUUCCCAUUGAGAAUGGACAUUACCAUUGUGAAUUGACACCACUAAGGUAAUUUCUUGUAUAGUAUAAACCUCAUUCAAGGCACAAGAUUUUGGUUUAACACUUGCAAAAUACAAAAAAUGAAAAUACUCUCUCAAGUGCAAGAACAACCUCUCUUUUAAGAACAAAGCUGUUGCAACCUCAAGGACCUGAUUCAAGAUCGAAGAUAUCUUAAGUCCUUAGGUUUGUUGAGUUUUUGUUAUUUUUUCUUCAUUUUAACUCCUAUCUUGGUUUCUUACAAGUUAUUUUAGGAAACAUAAAAUCACAAACCCUCCAAGUUUGUGUCUUGUCUAGAGCUAGUCAAGUUGUAAAGCCUUUGUAAUAGAGUUAUUACAAAGUGGCUUGUAAUACGGUUAUUACAAGUUAGAGUGUCAAAAGCCUUGGUAACUAUAAAGUGACAAAGUGUCUUGUUGUGAGAGCAUCGCAAAUUAGUAAAAUCCUUUGUAACUAGGGAGUCACAAAGCGACUUGUGGAAAGAGUACCACAAGUUAGUCUAAUUCUUUGUAACUAGGAUAGUUAUGGAGUGGCUUGUGGUGAUAGCAUCACAAGUUAGUUGAAGUCUUUGAAAUAGGGUUAUUAUAAAGUAGCUUGUAAUAGGGAGAUUUCAAGUUAGUAAAGUUAAAAGCCCGCAGGUGUGGAUCGUGAUUUUAUGAUCCCCUUGUGUGAGAUAUUUUCACGUAAAAAUCUCUUGCCUUUUUUACAUUCAGCUUUACUAGCAUUCACAGUACAACCCGAUAAAGGACCAUGUACUCUACUAUUUGGUAGACUCACACAAACUUAGCAUUGUACCAAACUGAUAUAGGACCAGAUCACUAUACAGUUUGGUUCAUCAGUAUUUACAGAGGAAACAUAUAGAGAACCUGAUUCUCUAUACAGUCUGGUGGACGCACAGUUCCUAACGAUUAGUAUCAGAGCAGGUUCUUUCUAAAAUAUUAACACCUCAAAAGGAUCUACAUGAUGCUCUACCAGAAUUUGAGGAAGGUCGGUAAACCUACUGGCCACCAAGAUUUCAGAAAAUGGUUAGUAAAAAUGGAGACAUUCCCAAGAAGGGUAGCUCUAGCAGAAACACUAAAGGAUACGAUUAUUGUCACAAGUAUAGAAAACCAGGACAUUUUAUCAAAGACUUUCCUCUCCACAAUCAAGUCUAUUACAAAAACAAUGAUGACAAGGUGGGUAAGAGGAACCUAGUCCACGACAAAAAGUUCAAGAAAAGAGAUGUCAGUUGGAAUUUUAUAAAUCAAGCUCUGGAUACCUGGGGAGAUUCUUCUAGUGAAUCAGAUGGUGAUAAUGGAAAGGAAGACACCUCCAUGAUGGCCACUAAAAGAGAAGCCACAAAAUAUGAUUCCUUAUUUGCAUUGAUGGCAAAUCUGAUGAGGAUGAAAAAGAUGAUGAUGAUAAGGUAAACUUCUUUGAUGUUCAAAUAAAUCUAAAGUAUUAUUCUUCGAAAAAACUUAUGUCUUCAGAAAAUGUUUUAAUUGAUGCAUAUCAUAGUCUUAUAAAAGAAAAAGAUGCCUUAGCUGAAAAUAUUUCAACCAUAAGACGUGAGAGAGAUAAUCUAGUGGUUGUUAUGGUCAAUCUAAAGGAGAACAUUGAGUGUGCUAGAAAGGAGAAAGAGGUUUUAACUAAGAAGGUUGUUAACAUUGAGCAUGAGAGAGAUGAUCUAUCAGUUGUGGGUGUAGACCUAAAGAAAACAAUUGAGGAACUAAAAAAGGAAAGUAGGCCACUCAAAAGAGAAAUAAAGUUGCAAGUGGGGCAUACAUUAAGCUUGAAAGUGAGUUAAAUUUAGUGAAGUCUAGUUUGUCUGCUGAGCUUGAGAAAAAUAAACAAUUUCAAGAAGAACUAGGUAGAGUGAAGAGUGGCUUGAAAAAUCACACAAAUGGACCUGGUCCUGUAAUUCUACACUGCCUUGUACACAUAUAAUGGGGAAAAAAGGCAAUAAAUCGGGUUCCAAAGGGAAAAGAUUCCCUACAACCCUCAUAGAAAGUAAGUUACUCUACCUGACAAUGGACUUUACACUUACUGUUGAAACACUAGGCACUUGAAAGAAAAUUUAAGGUCAGCAUUCAGUCCCAACAGAAAAAUAAAGUUUUUGCUGAAAAUGUAACUGCUGCUAUAGAACCUGGUCCUUCACAUAAAAAUCGUAUAAUGCCUGCUUGGACCAAAAAAGCCCUUUCACCCAUUUUCUCAUUACAAGAACUCCUGUAAAGUUAAAAUUCAGUCGUUGUAAAAAUAUAAAGUUGUUGUUGAAAAGAGGCGUAUUGAUGAGAAACCUAGUUCCAAGAAAAGAAAAUAUAUGUUGCCUGCAUGGGCAAAAAGAAGUCUGAUCCACCCAUUUUAUCAUUAGCUGGCUUGGGUUCCUAAGUCUAAUAAUUGAUUUAAUGUGCAUAGAACAGUGAAAGGGAGCAGUCAACAGUGGUACAUGGAUAGCGACUGCUCAAAGCUCAUGACUGGAAGAACAAAUGAUUUCCAUUCACUGAAAGCCUUACAAGGAGGGAAUGUAUCCUCUGGAAAUGAAAGAAGGGGUACAUUCUUGGUGUCAGAAAGGUUGGAAAUCCUCUCAAAUCUGUGAUGAAGGGAACAAAGUAGAGUUCUUAUAUAAAGUGAGCAUAGUUACUAAUCUGGUAAUUGGAGAAUUGAUCUUAACAGCCAAAAGAUACAAGAAUAUCAACGUUGCUGAUUUUGAGUCUCUACAAGGUGGUGAUAUGAGCUGCUUGAAGAAGGACAUGGUUCACGGUCUACCAAAUUCAAAUUUCAAGGAGCACAGAGUGUAUGAUGCAUGUGCUAAGGGAAAUAUCUGAUGCUUCAAAUGGCAAGGCUGAUAUGAUGAGUCAGAUGAAGAAGGAAAGUGAAGAAAAUGUCACUCCCUCUUCCACUUCUCAAGAGGAACCUGGUACCCCAAUUGCUACCACUAAAGCUGAAGAAAGAGUUGGAGAUGCAACAUUAGGAACUCCUGAUGCAAAACAAAAUAGUGGAAGUCAUGAUUCUGUUGAUGUCAAUGAUGAUUCACAUAUGGAAGAACCUAGUCCUUCAAUUUUGAAGUUCAAAUCAAGCCUAAGAACAUCAAAGAAGCAUUGAAAAUGCUAUUUGGAUAUCCGCUAUACAAGACGAACAUCAUCAAUUGAGAGGAAUCCAAUGUGGCCCUUGGUCCCUAGGCCUUCAUACAGAAUAGUGAUUGGAACAUGGCCCUAAACACUCCCACUUGAAGGGUGCCAAGGAAAGUUUGAGGUAUCCUAAGGGAACGAAGGACAUGGUCCCCAUCUAGUGUUCAGGAGAUUCUCUUGAUUUGGUUGUAUAUGUUGAUGCUGAUUAUGCAGAAUAUCUUGGUGACAAGAAAGACACUUCUAGAAUGGUACAUUUUCCAGGAUCAUACUUGAUCUCAUGUGGUACAAAGACGCAAACUGUGCGACUCUUUCUACUAUUGAAGCUGAAUACGUGGUUGUUGCUUCUUGUUGUGCUCAAAUAGUACAGAUCAGGAAAUAUCUUAAAGACUGGUGUAUUUACAAUUUAAACCUGGUAAAACACAAGAGACAAAGCACAUUGAUGUUAGACACCAAUUUCUUAGGGACAAUAUUGAAAAGGUUCUGAUUUGUAUGAAGUUUUUGAAGACGAAGGAUCAGGUAGCACACAUCUUCACCAAGUUGCUGAGCAGGGAACAUCUUGAAAGAAAUAUUUUGGAGUUGGGGUUGAUUAAGCUCUGGAAUUGGUCCCUCGAUGAUUGGUUAUGUUAAUAAGGAAAGGUACAAUGCUAAAAAGUAUUUUCAGCGACAUCUAACUCAAAUCUAUACUGUUACCGGUAUAUACAUAUGGCAGUCUCAGGAAAAACAAGUAAGAGUGACAUUGCACUUCUAGGAGUCUUUGCUCAAAAUUUUCAAAAAACAGUCAAGGAACCUGUUUCCUGUGACUCAGGUUAGUAGUCUCUUCAAUACUUAUAUGCCUUUUUAAGCUGCUGCAGUGUCAUGCCAUCAGUUUGUUUAUGCCUUUCUCCUACCUCUCCUCCUAACUUUUGAAGUCCAAAAUGUUAAACAUUUUCUAAACUGACCCGUUUCCCCAAAAAGGAACUUUUUUAUCUUACACCCAAAUGAAACCGAUUCUUUUCUUCAAAACCAGAAUCAACCUUGUCUCAAAGUAAUCCUUCUUUUCAAAUAUGCUAGAGCUGACCCAGCUCCCUCACUUUCCAAAAAUCUAACUCCAUCAGAAUCAUAACCCCAAGAAGUCUUUGGUAGAUUUGAUGGAAGUGUAACUGAAAGGGAACAUGGUAGAUCUAAUAUUCUAGAGCGUGAGGCUGAAGUUGCAGUUGGUUUCGUAGAAAUAUUGAAGCAUGGAGAAAUUGGUGAAUAUGAGAAUUGAAUGAGGGACCUGGUCCCUCAAGUCCUUCUCAUGAAGUUAAAUUUAAUGAUGAUCUUUUUCUCCUUGAGUUUUGUGUAUAAACAAAUUUUCGAUCAGUAAAUAGGAUUGAAGGAAAGUAAGUUGAUUGAUGGUAAAAUGGUAUGAGUUGCUGAUGUGAUUAGAGAAUGAAAUGAAAUCUUUUCCUGUGGGAAAGAAUUUAAAUAACAAUAAAGUUGGCCGAGAAAGAUGCAGCAGAUGAUACAGGUAAACAUAUUGAGAAGAAGAAGAGGGAGACAUGGUUGCUCAUGGAUAGAAGUGUAAGUGAGGAACCUGGUUCUUUACAGAAGCAAAAGAUUAAGUCAUUAGGUUUGGAUGGAGAAGACGUUGAAGUUUCAAAAGGUGCUAUAAGGCAGAGUGUUGUCUCCAAUAUUGAUGAAAAAUGGAGGAACUUCUCAACAUUGUUGAGUUCCAAAGAUAGAAUUACCUCUUUGUUCCUCCAAGUCCCAAUGUUUCUAAAGAAGAAGUAAAAACUUCUAUGUUUUACGUGGUACUAUAAUGCUAUAUGUGCAUGGGACUAGGUAUGUUCUUGAUGAGACGAAACUUGGGGAGAUUCUUGGUGAUCUGAGUGAUGGUUCAACCUACUCAGGUAGGUUGAGAACCUAGUCUUCGAGGACCAUUUGCAGAAUAUAAUGCUAAGUUAAAGGGUGAAAAUAAAAGAUUGAGGAAACAGGUGGAGGAAUUGAAAGAGUAGAUGAUCAUUGGUUAAAGGGACAAAAUGAACGAAUGCACAAGCUAAUCAAAGCCUUAGCCUCUUACUUUUCUUCCUACCGAGUGAUCCAUGUCCUUCACUCCUUCCCGAUUCCCUUGAAUUCUUACUGUCACACAUCCUUUUACACACACCCGAAGAUGAUACAAGGGAGAUUUUCCAAUUUAAGUGACACUAUUCGAAAUGAGAGUAUUUAUUUGUUUUUAUUCAGGGUCGCCACUUGGGAUGGUUUGUUUUCUGGUAUUCCAAGUCACCGGUUUAUUUUAAAAUCCCAAAUGGAGGAAAAUUUCGACUUUCCUUUUGAAGUCUGCAAACCAGAAAUUCUGAAUAAGGAAUUCUGUUAACCCGAAAUAAGGUGUCAGGCACCCCCAGAUUCCGUGGUUCUAGCACGGUCGCUUAAACUAUCAUAAUUAGCCUAUAUCUAAUUUAAUAUAUGUUUUAGCCUAUCGUGCAUUUUAGCUUUAUAACCGCUUUUAAUUAUUUAUUGGAAGAUUUAACAUUAUCUAAAACAUGUCUUGAACCAUGCCAGUGAAAUGCACCCGCGGUCUACGACAUAUUUUAUUUAACGUUGUUGAGAAUUGGAGUUGGGUCACAUGAAAUGCACACCCGAUUUUAAGGAAAUUAAUUUAAAUUACGCGCCUAAAGCAACUAGUUCUAGCGCGGUCGCUUAAGCUAUCAUAAUUGGCCUAUUAUCUAAUUUUAAUACAUGUUCGAACCUAUAGUGUAAUUUUAAAUUAUUUACCGCUUUUAAUUAAUUUUAAGAAAGAUUGAACAUCGUUUAAAACAUGUCUUUGGAUUGUGUCACAUGAAAUGUACUCGCAAUCUGAAACACAUUUUAUUUAUGAGUCACAUGAAAUGCACACCCGAGUUUAGGAAAUUAAUUAUUAAAACAACGCGCCUAAAGCAACUACGCAUUUGCAACUUUACGAGGGCCAUGAAAAUCUGCUAAAUGGCGCACCUCGAAGUCUAAGGAUCAAGACAAGACUAAUUAAAACGAGGGUCAUGCAUGAUUAACUUGUGGAUGGCACACCCCGGACUAUCAAUAGCCUAUAAAAACCUAUUUUAUUAUUAAGAAAUUUUGGUCGAAGUUGUGCGAACGCAUACUCCGAAAUAAUUUUUAAAAUUGUAAUCAUGUCACGUGAACGUGUACACAAUCAAAAUUGUAUUUUAUACGCGCCUAAAGCCAGCCUGUGACUAGUAACGCAGCUAAUAGAAGUGAAAUCAACAACAAUUUAUAACAAAUGGGUAAGAAAUAUAGCAAAGGUUCCAUAUUUGUAAACAACUCCAAGAAACAGAAAAAGUAACACCGGAAGAGUGCUUCCGAUGGUGCAAUAAACAAAUCGAAACCAUGGCCUUAAAUCAAUUACUCUCCAGACAACAACUAAUAAUUACCAAGCAUCGAAGAUUUAAAAGACUUUCCCCGUAAAAUAGCAACAAUAGUGAACAUAUAAGCAACAAAGCAGACCAUAUAUAAAAUAGAUUAAACAAACCAACAAUCCCCUCACUUUAUUAUCAAAUAUGGUCUUUGACGUAAUAUCAUAUUGUCUUUUGAUUAUACUAACAUGAAUACCGGAACGUGACAUUAUAUGAUCUUUUAAUAGUCUUUACAAAAUUGAGUUUAAAUGUUCUUUUUAAAGAAAUCAAUUCAAUCUCAAACCCAAGUUAAUAACACAAAUCAAGUAAAACUACAUCAAAGACAUACCAAUAGAAUCCAUUUCAAUUCCUGCCCAAGCUAGUUGGAUGAUGAGGAAAAUUAUCCAAGCCAGAGAUGUUCUACAAAGGAUCCAGAAUUGGAGGGAACAGAAGUGCUCGACAAGACAGUUGUACCAUUCUCAGAUCCAAACAGUACCGAGAGUUCCAUGGAAGAAUUUAAUCAUACAGAACCAAGCAAGACCAAAAGCAACAUUCAACAUAUGGCUAUUCCUCCAGGAUAGACUCCCAACAAAGGACAGACUACACAGCUGGAAAAUGAUUAUUGAUCAGCAGUGCCCAUUGUGCCAAAGCCACCCGGAAUCAAGAGAUCACUUAUUAAUGAACUGUCCUGUCACUGUGGACUUAUGUGAACAAACAAUGAACUGGCUGCAGUAAAC